Molecule: long non-coding RNA, 400 nt
Filed under: Trifolium pratense (red clover)
Lineage: Eukaryota; Viridiplantae; Streptophyta; Magnoliopsida; Fabales; Fabaceae
Description: long non-coding RNA (TPRA_LNC003304)
Source: RNAcentral
UUUAAUAAAAAAUGAUUAAUAUAGUACUAUGUGUAUUUUAGGUAAAUUAAUUAAGUGAUUUUACAAAAUGACUGGUUCACAAUAAACAAAGGAUGUUGUAAUCCAACAAAUCUUCUAAAUUCUGUAUAUCCAACUUGUUACCAAAACUAAUUCUCCAUCUUUAUCCCCUAAAACCCAAUUAACUAAUAUUGACCUUUUCUUAAUCUUUUUCUCUCCUUAAAUCCCAUCUUUUUUAUUCAUUCCUAAUUAUUGAAAUUAACACUAAUCCCAUAAUAAGACAAAACCUUCCCUUAGAAUUCUCCAUCAAAUUAAGAUCCUCUCAGUUUGGUAACACAACCCAAUCAAGAACCACAAUAUAAAACCAAAACGGUGUCGUAUAGAGAAAGCAUAACAAAGAAAU